GAUGAAGAACGUAGCGAAAUGCGAUAAGUAAUGUGAAUUGCAGAAUUCAGUGAAUCAUCGAAUCUUUGAACGCACAUUGCGCCCGCCAGUAUUCUGGCGGGCAUGCCUGUUCGAGCGUCAUUUCAACCAUCAAGCCCCCGGCUUGUGUUGGGGACCUGCGGCUGCCGCAGGCCCUGAAAACCAGUGGCGGGCUCGCUAGUCACUCCGAGCGUAGUAAUACAUCUCGCUCAGGGCGUGCUGCGGGUUCCGGCCGUUAAAAAGCCUUAUUUACCCAAGGUUGACCUCGGAUCAGGUAGGAAGACCCGCUGAACUUAAGCAUAUCAUAAGCCGGAGGA
RNAcentral lists this unclassified non-coding RNA (335 nucleotides) under soil metagenome. RNAcentral describes it as "partial contains 5.8S ribosomal RNA, internal transcribed spacer 2, and large subunit ribosomal RNA". The stretch from base 1 to 120 matches the Rfam family "5.8S ribosomal RNA", at positions 35 to 154 of the family's 154-position model. The record is from RNAcentral.